GCUUGUAUAGUUUAUUUAAAAUAUUAAUUUGUGGAUUUAACGAUGUGAUUAUUCACUAUAGGCC
This 64-nucleotide transfer RNA is filed under the name Coptotettix longtanensis. Its description in RNAcentral is "tRNA-His". RNAcentral also lists the same sequence under 1 other name. The record is from RNAcentral. Lineage: Eukaryota; Metazoa; Arthropoda; Insecta; Orthoptera; Tetrigidae.